RNAcentral lists this transfer RNA (73 nucleotides) under Ptilocaulis walpersi. Its description in RNAcentral is "tRNA-Arg". It matches the Rfam family "tRNA". From Rfam's summary of the family: Transfer RNA (tRNA) molecules are approximately 80 nucleotides in length. Their secondary structure includes four short double-helical elements and three loops (D, anti-codon, and T loops). Lineage: Eukaryota; Metazoa; Porifera; Demospongiae; Axinellida; Axinellidae. The record is from RNAcentral.
AUGUCUGUAUUUUAAAGGAAAAAAAAUCGGAUUUCGAAUCAGAAAAAGAGGGUUCGACUCCCUUCAGGCUAUA